Long non-coding RNA from Lutra lutra (Eurasian river otter), 3077 nucleotides. RefSeq lists it as uncharacterized. The record is from RefSeq and is a predicted model, not a curated record. The transcript is spliced from 2 exons. Lineage: Eukaryota; Metazoa; Chordata; Mammalia; Carnivora; Mustelidae.
GGAGCCACACAGGGUCUGGGAGCCGAGCGCGUCCGAAAGCGGCGGGAGGGGCGGCCAGGACUCCGCGCUCCCGGCUGGUGCGGGUGGAGCGGCCGCCGCCUGCGGGGCCCAGUCGGACGCGAGCCUCGCGUCCCCGCCGCAGGCUGGCGGACGAGAUUCGUUCGUAAGCACAGCUUCUAGCUAACAACGAGAGCAGAGUCCAUGUAGUUCGCACGUUGCUCAUGAUGCUUGGGACGGCGGGAGGAGGGCCGCUCCUAGGGCGGAUGGGGGCAGUGCGCUGGCGGCCGCGCUGACCCGGUGGAGUCAGAUCUCAUCUGUACGGGCUUCAUCUUCCCGCACAGUAUUCGGGUGCGAGUCAGGACGGGGAAACGUCGCGUAAGUACAAAUAGUGGGGCUGAGAAUUGGCCACUGAACACUGCCAAAAUGGAAUGCGUUUUUCCGACUGGAAAUCGGUUCUCAUGAAUGGCGACGGAAAGACCGAGCGUGCAGCCUGCUGACCGUCCUAGGAACGACGGGAACACACACACACCAGACUAGAGGCCUCGGACCGGAUCCCCCCCAGCCACUCCGGAGGAGAGUGGGGCCUCGGCUAUGAGCUGCUGGUGAGGGUGGAAAGCCAGCAGGGGUCCCUGAAAGGCCCCUCACUGGCGGGUGGUAGCCACAGCCCCAGGAAGUGGUCAGCUUAACUCCCCUCCUCCCACAGCAGCUCUCACAAGGCCACCGCCGAAGUUCCAAGUGCCAUGUCUGACCCCUGCCCCGAUUCCACAUUCUUCGUCUGGAUCGUUUACUACUCUGGGUCAUCUUAGAGUCAAGGUAGGAGCUCUUGGGCCUCUCCUGGUGACUGCACUUUCCUGUUCUGAGACUUGAUGCCUUGAAAGUGAGUCCCCAGAGUCCAGCCUUUUUUCCAAGUACAGGGGACAUUUCACUCGCUCUAACUGCUGAGUCCUUGCACCACGCCCUUCAGAAGUGGACAGAAAGGAUUUUAAUUGCCCAGCAAGAGAGAGAGAUGCUGCGUGCCACUGGUUCAUCGCGCUGCAGAGCCAGUGACAACAGAGGUCUACUAAUUCACUUAUCACCACAAAGUUCGGUCUCUGAGCCAGAGUCCCUCUUGCCCUCUGCCAAGCUGCCAGCAGCUCUGGGGAAGGUAAGACCAAGGUAGUCACUGAGAGGAAUCUCAUUUACAGAAGGGGCAACUGCAGCUUCCCACAGGGCAGGAUGGCCCUUCUGCCAUCAUGGCUGAGACUCAGAGCACAGUGAGCAAUGCCAGCUACUCAGAGUGCUUGUUUAUUCUCGGAAAUGAUAGGCAUCUACUGUACUGGGGUUUCUGUGUCGGUAGUAGGGGGUCCAUUCAACCUGCUCCUUAAUGGUUCUCUGCUCGUCGCUUCCGAUGGAACUGUAGCUGGUCAGAGUCUCUUUUGAGGCUCUAGUGAUGAUGAUCUGUGGAAUGACAACUUUCUUCUUGCUCGCCUUUACCUUUCCAUCAGGGUUCUCUAGAAGGAAGAAAACAUCCAGGUAUUUAAUGUGUCUGUGGAAAAGCUCUUCUACAAGGUGGACAAUGCCUGUGUUAGGGCCAAAGCAAAAGAAUUCGAUGUGUGGUUCAGGAAAAGGAGGGCAAGGUCGAAGGCAGCCCAAACAGUAAAUGAGUGUUCCAGAACUCUAACCAGCUGACACCUCAGGCACGAGGGUAGUGAAUACCAGACACCCUCUUUCAGGGAAUAGAAGGGAGACACACUUCCACCAUCCACUGUGGAGAGACCGAGCUGCCAGCCAGCUUCUGGGACAGACACAGAAGGAAGGGGACAGAGAGAGAAAAGAAGAAGCAGGGUCUGCCCCAGAGGUGAAGGUUCGGAUACAGUUUCCAAAGGAUUCUAAAUCUGGUUAAAAACAAAACAAAACCAAAAAAACCACCUCUCUGUACAGAACCUUAUCAAUGAAUGCGGAAGAAUUAACGUUUCUCCUUUAAAAAAAAAAACAUUUAUUUAUUUUAGAGAGCAAGUGUGAGCAGAGGGAGAGGGAGGGAAUUCUCAAGCAGACUCCCUGCAGAGCACAGAGCCCAGGGUGGGGUCAAUCCCAUGACCCUAAGAUCACAACCUGAGGUGAAACCAAGCGUCAGACGCUCAGCUGACUUAGCCACCCAGGUGCCCCAAGAAUUAACAUUUCUGGAAUCAGCCACAGCAUUUUCUUAAACUUAAGUUUACAAGGAUUGCAUAGGACUUGUGAAAUGCCAAGUUUGUCAAAAGUUACAAAAUACCUAAGCAGAAGUGCUUUCACGCCUUCCCUGCUGCAUCUCCCAGCCACCCCUCGACAGGGCUCCAGGUUGGAGGCUCAGGCCUCUGUUAAAGCCCGACAGAGAGUGCUCUCUCUGUGUACAGGUGUGUGCAGGUAGAGUUCGAGUAAUCACACUGUCACACAACUGUUCCAAAAAUGCUACCACGCUGAUCCUGUUGCUUUUCAUUGUGCUUUGUGCCCCACUUAAAAUGCCUCGUGAAUUCGGCCGCCUGGGGUCCAGUUCUCGGUCAGACAUCAUGGUGAGCCUAGAAUAAGGACUGUGAAUACCAAGCCACAAUGCUUCCUGAAGUAGGGCCUCUUAUGAGCUCUGUUUUACAGAUGAAGGAACUGAGCACUGAGAGGUCGUGUCCUCAAGGCAGCUGGUGGAGAUGCCAGGGUGGGAACUCUGUCCGUCUUCAUGGCCGCACCCCAGCUUUGAUUGUUUUAACUCCCAGUGAAUGGCCCAUGGCAUGUACUAGGCACUGAGAGUGUCCUUUUUAUUUUUAUAAGUGUCAAAACCUGCAUUUCAUAUUUUGCAUUUAAAUUUGGGGGUUUCAUUUUUUAUAUUAAUUUACACAUUCUUUUAUAUAUUAAGACUAAAAAGCAACAAAUAUUUUUUUAACAAAUAUUUGAUUUAAAAAAUAAUACACAAGCAAAAAUUGCAUAUGGAAGGAUUCUUUUCCUUCCUUCUUUCCUUUCCAGUGAAAAAAGGUGUUCCCUGCACCAAACCUAUAAAAACUGUAAACAGUUUUACCCUCUCUGUUUAAUUUUUGGAUUCAUGUAGAAUUCAAGUAAAGACUGAGGCAAAA